Molecule: ribosomal RNA, 492 nt
Filed under: uncultured Sphingobacteriales bacterium
Lineage: Bacteria; Pseudomonadati; Bacteroidota; Sphingobacteriia; Sphingobacteriales
Description: bacterial SSU rRNA
Rfam family: Bacterial small subunit ribosomal RNA
Source: RNAcentral
CCCGCUCAGAAACUCAAAGGAAUUGACGGGGCCGCACAAGCGGAGGAGCAUGUGGUUUAAUUCGAUGAUACGCGAGGAACCUUACCUGGGCUCGAACGUAAGAUGACUGUAGGUGAAAGCUUACAUCUCUUCGGAGCAUUUUACGAGGUGCUGCAUGGUUGUCGUCAGCUCGUGCCGUGAGGUGUCGGGUUAAGUCCCAUAACGAGCGCAACCCCUACCUUUAGUUGCCAUCAGGUAAUGCUGGGGACUCUAAAGGAACUGCCUACGCAAGUAGUGAGGAAGGCGGGGAUGACGUCAAAUCAGCACGGCCCUUACGUCCAGGGCUACACACGUGCUACAAUGGCCGAUACAGAGGGCAGCUACCUGGUGACAGGAUGCAAAUCUCCAAAGUCGGUCUCAGUUCGGAUCGGAGUCUGCAACCCGACUCCGUGAAGUUGGAUUCGCUAGUAAUCGCGCAUCAGCCAUGGCGCGGUGAAUACGUUCCCGGGCCUU